AGAGUUUGAUCCUGGCUCAGGAUGAACGCUGGCGGCGUGCCUAAUACAUGCAAGUCGAGCGAACCACUUCGGUGGUGAGCGGCGAACGGGUGAGUAACACGUAGGUGAUCUGCCCAUCAGACGGGGACAACGAUUGGAAACGAUCGCUAAUACCGGAUAGGACGAAAGUUUAAAGGUGCUUCUGGCACCGCUGAUGGAUGAGCCUGCGGCGCAUUAGCUAGUUGGUAGGGUAAAGGCCUACCAAGGCGACGAUGCGUAGCCGACCUGAGAGGGUGAACGGCCACACUGGGACUGAGACACGGCCCAGACUCCUACGGGAGGCAGCAGUAGGGAAUCUUCGGCAAUGGGCGAAAGCCUGACCGAGCAACGCCGCGUGAAUGAUGAAGGCCUUCGGGUUGUAAAAUUCUGUUAUAAGGGAAGAACGACUUUAGUAGGAAAUGGCUAGAGUGUGACGGUACCUUAUGAGAAAGCCACGGCUAACUACGUGCCAGCAGCCGCGGUAAUACGUAGGUGGCGAGCGUUAUCCGGAAUUAUUGGGCGUAAAGAGCGCGCAGGUGGUUGAUUAAGUCUGAUGUGAAAGCCCACGGCUUAACCGUGGAGGGUCAUUGGAAACUGGUCGACUUGAGUGCAGAAGAGGGGAGUGGAAUUCCAUGUGUAGCGGUGAAAUGCGUAGAGAUAUGGAGGAACACCAGUGGCGAAGGCGGCUUCCUGGUCUGUAACUGACACUGAGGCGCGAAAGCGUGGGGAGCAAACAGGAUUAGAUACCCUGGUAGUCCACGCCGUAAACGAUGAGUGCUAAGUGUUGGGGGCCGAACCUCAGUGCUGAAGUUAACGCAUUAAGCACUCCGCCUGGGGAGUACGGUCGCAAGACUGAAACUCAAAUGAAUUGACGG
Molecule: ribosomal RNA, 893 nt
Filed under: uncultured bacterium
Lineage: Bacteria
Description: bacterial SSU rRNA
Rfam family: Bacterial small subunit ribosomal RNA
Source: RNAcentral